Molecule: long non-coding RNA, 486 nt
Filed under: Musa acuminata (dwarf banana)
Lineage: Eukaryota; Viridiplantae; Streptophyta; Magnoliopsida; Zingiberales; Musaceae
Description: long non-coding RNA (MACU_LNC006744)
Source: RNAcentral
GGAGUUGGAGCUCGGCAGGGACUCGGACCAGCAGGCAGUAGUGAAGUCGGUGCGCCCGGUCACGUCACCGAUGUUAUCCUCACAUCCCUGCAUGCUGGCGGCGGGGAAGCCGUCGGAGACCCGAGGCGGCGAGAAGUAGUGGAUCCCGAACGAGUCCGACGAGGACGAGCCGGCCGCGCUCGAGGUUUCCGAGCUCAGCUUGGUGGGCCCGGUCACGUCACCUUUGUUAUCCUCACAUCCCUGCAUGCUGGCGGUGGGGAAGCCGUCGGAGACCCGAGGCGGCGAGAAGUAGUGCAUCCCGAACGAGUCCGACGAGGACGAGCCGGCCGCGCUCGAGGUCUCCGAGCUCAGCUUCACCCUGGCGAGCUCCGUGGCGGGGUCUUCUGGCCGGUGGCUUGUGGCCGGAGAGACCGUGGAGUUUCCGGAGGCCGCCCGGAUUCGUUCCACGAGGCGGGGUAUCCACAGGUACCGCAUCACGUCCUUGAA